Molecule: ribosomal RNA, 490 nt
Filed under: uncultured Sphingobacteriales bacterium
Lineage: Bacteria; Pseudomonadati; Bacteroidota; Sphingobacteriia; Sphingobacteriales
Description: bacterial SSU rRNA
Rfam family: Bacterial small subunit ribosomal RNA
Source: RNAcentral
AGCCCGCUCAGAACUCAAGGAAUUGACGGGGCCGCACAAGCGGUGGAGCAUGUGGUUAAUUCGAUGAUACGCGAGGAACCUUACCUGGGCUCAAAUGUAUGUUGACGUAUUCUGAAAGGGAUACUUCUUCGGACAAUAUACAAGGUGCUGCAUGGUUGUCGUCAGCUCGUGCCGUGAGGUGUCGGGUUAAGUCCCAUAACGAGCGCAACCCCUAUCAUUAGUUGCCAUCAGGUCAAGCUGGGGACUCUAAUGAAACUGCCUACGCAAGUAGUGACGGAAGGUGGGGAUGACGUCAAAUCAGCACGGCCCUUACGUCCAGGGCUACACACGUGCUACAAUGGCCGGUACAAAGGGCAGCUACCUGGUGACAGGAUACUAAUCUCAAAAGCCGGUCUCAGUUCGGAUCGGAGUCUGCAACCCGACUCCGUGAAGCUGGAUUCGCUAGUAAUCGCGCAUCAGCCAUGGCGCGGUGAAUACGUUCCCGGGCCUU